GACGUAGGGCGCGAGCGUUGUCCGGAUUUAUUGGGCGUAAAGAGCUCGUAGGCGGCUCGUUGCGUCGGCUGUGAAAUCCCGAGGCUCAACCUCGGGUCUGCAGUCGAUACGAGCAAACUAGAGUGUUGCAGGGGAGACUGGAAUUCCUGGUGUAGCGGUGAAAUGCGCAGAUAUCAGGAGGAACACCGGUGGCGAAGGCGGGUCUCUGGGCAACAACUGACGCUGAGGAGCGAAAGCGUGGGGAGCGAACAGG
Molecule: ribosomal RNA, 253 nt
Filed under: uncultured bacterium
Lineage: Bacteria
Description: partial 16S ribosomal RNA
Rfam family: Bacterial small subunit ribosomal RNA
Source: RNAcentral